This 238-nucleotide long non-coding RNA is filed under the name Mytilus galloprovincialis (Mediterranean mussel). Lineage: Eukaryota; Metazoa; Mollusca; Bivalvia; Mytilida; Mytilidae. The record is from RNAcentral.
GUGUCCAUAAUUGUUGAACAGACAGCUAUCUGGACUUAUCGAAGAAAUAGAACAUGAACUCUCCUCGUCACAAUUAUUUUUAAUAAUAUUCAUCUGUUCAUCUUUCAAACUACACUGAUCAUAUUCUGAACAUGAUGCUGUGGUUUUCUUUACUGCCAGAUUGACUAUUGAAAUGGUUUUGUUGUCAGAACAGCUGAUCGUUCUUGAGUCACUUAUAAAAAUUCCCUCUUGAAAACCU